AUUGAACGCUGGCGGCAUGCUUUACACAUGCAAGUCGGACGGCAGCACAGAGAAGCUUGCUUCUUGGGUGGCGAGUGGCGAACGGGUGAGUAAUAUAUCGGAACGUACCGAGUAAUGGGGGAUAACUAAUCGAAAGAUUAGCUAAUACCGCAUAUUCUCUGAGGAGGAAAGCAGGGGACCUUCGGGCCUUGCGUUAUUCGAGCGGCCGAUAUCUGAUUAGCUAGUUGGUGGGGUAAAGGCCUACCAAGGCGACGAUCAGUAGCGGGUCUGAGAGGAUGAUCCGCCACACUGGGACUGAGACACGGCCCAGACUCCUACGGGAGGCAGCAGUGGGGAAUUUUGGACAAUGGGCGCAAGCCUGAUCCAGCCAUGCCGCGUGUCUGAAGAAGGCCUUCGGGUUGUAAAGGACUUUUGUCAGGGAAGAAAAGGCUGUUGCUAAUACCGACAGCUGAUGACGGUACCUGAAGAAUAAGCACCGGCUAACUACGUGCCAGCAGCCGCGGUAAUACGUAGGGUGCGAGCGUUAAUCGGAAUUACUGGGCGUAAAGCGAGCGCAGACGGUUACUUAAGCAGGAUGUGAAAUCCCCGGGCUCAACCUGGGAACUGCGUUCUGAAAUGGGUGACUAGAGUGUGUCAGAUGGAGGUAGCAUUCCACGUGUAGCAGUGAAAUGCGUGAGAUGUGGAGGAAUACCGAUGGCGACGACAGCCUCCUGGGAUACAUUGACGUUUCUGCUCGAAACGAGAGUAGCAACAGA
This 755-nucleotide ribosomal RNA is filed under the name Neisseria subflava. RNAcentral describes it as "bacterial SSU rRNA". It matches the Rfam family "Bacterial small subunit ribosomal RNA", at positions 28 to 775 of the family's 1533-position model. The record is from RNAcentral. Lineage: Bacteria; Pseudomonadati; Pseudomonadota; Betaproteobacteria; Neisseriales; Neisseriaceae.